Molecule: long non-coding RNA, 625 nt
Organism: Gavialis gangeticus (Gharial)
Lineage: Eukaryota; Metazoa; Chordata; Crocodylia; Gavialidae
Exons: 3
Source: RefSeq, a predicted model, not a curated record
UAUCCUUUGCUUCAGCCACUCCUACAUGCACCCAUAAAAUUCUUGCUGUGCACUUGUAUUGGGGAAUUCCUGGGUUCUCUAUGAGAAGGCUGAUUGUGAGGUGAGCACAGCAGUCUUCUGUGCCAGUGCAGAAAGAAAAUGGAACAUUUUUGCCUGUAGUUUGUGCACUGGAAAAGUUUAGAAGUGAACAUUGGUUAUCUCAGACUGGCCCUUAACCUAGCUCUCAUUUGUCAGUUCAUGUCCUGCGGAAGCAGAAAGAGAUGUUGGAUUGGAUAUUUCAUGUGUAAGGAAUGGAAUGAAUGAAAGCCAGCUGAUCUUUAUGGGAGAAAUGGACUAAAUGGCAUCACUAAUGGAUUUAGGAGAAUGAGGACAGCUGGAAUGGAUUAGUGAAGAGGGUCAGAGUCAGUAAGGUAUUUCAAGGCGUGAACAAGAAUUCAAUAUGCAAUCCAUUUGGAGUCGAUAAGAACAAUGUGGAUGUUAGCAUGUAGCAAACCCCCUCAGGUUUUUCUUUUUUUUUAAACUUAAAAAUGCAUUCCCUCUCCAUCCCCAACCUUUUCUGACUUUCUCUCUGCCCUUUCUAUCCCAUAUAAAUGAUUACAAAUAAUACUAGGUAAGCUAAGAUAAG